UACGGAGGGAGCUAGCGUUGUUCGGAAUUACUGGGCGUAAAGAGUACGUAGGCGGUGAUUCAAGUCAGAGGUGAAAGCCUGGAGCUCAACUCCAGAACUGCCUUUGAAACUAGAUCGCUAGAAUCACGGAGAGGUUAGUGGAAUUCCGAGUGUAGAGGUGAAAUUCGUAGAUAUUCGGAAGAACACCAGUGGCGAAGGCGACUAACUGGACGUGUAUUGACGCUGAGGUACGAAAGCGUGGGGAGCAAACAGG
RNAcentral lists this ribosomal RNA (253 nucleotides) under uncultured Sphingomonadaceae bacterium. Its description in RNAcentral is "partial 16S ribosomal RNA". It matches the Rfam family "Bacterial small subunit ribosomal RNA", at positions 524 to 776 of the family's 1533-position model. Lineage: Bacteria; Pseudomonadati; Pseudomonadota; Alphaproteobacteria; Sphingomonadales; Sphingomonadaceae. The record is from RNAcentral.